Long non-coding RNA from Patella vulgata (common limpet), 9877 nucleotides. RefSeq lists it as uncharacterized. Lineage: Eukaryota; Metazoa; Mollusca; Gastropoda; Patellidae. The transcript has 2 exons. The record is from RefSeq and is a predicted model, not a curated record.
AAUAAUAUUAACAUAGGUUAUGUUUUUUAUUGAAGUGUAGGCUUAUAAACUUGUUAACAUUAUUGCUAAUAUUAACUUAAGUUUUGUGUAGAAGUAUAGAAUUUAUUAACUUUGUUAAUUAAUGCUAUUAUUGAAAUAGGACCGGCUUGUUAGCAUGGUAAAUCAGACAUAUUUUAGAAAUUUUCCCCUUACUUUAAACUCAUUAUGAUGUAGUAUAUAAGGUCUAUAUCUUUGUACCUUUGCUGUAUCCAUGUGACUCCAGUUUGUAGUCUCCAGAUCUAGAUCAAAUUAAAAAUAAGAUUUUAUAAGAAAUAUUUUUGGAUAACUUUUAACUCAUUUUUAAUCUCCUACUGCUGAUAAAAUCGUGUACAUUCAUUGUUUCUGUAUUUAAAUACUAACUGUUGUAAGCGAUUAUCAAUUAUUUAAUUCAUUGCUGCGAGGAGAAAAAAAAGAUAGCUUUUUUCUUAAAUAUGUAGCUUUAUUUGUUCUCAGGGAUUUUCUUAUCCACCUCUCAGUAUUAUUCCCUGCCGUAUGUCAAAGCUUACGUUAUAAGAAACAUAUUAUUUUAAUCUUUUAAAGGCAAUGUUUCAAAGAGUAUUUGUUUGCCUCACAAUUUGUUUUACUUAAUUAGCUGGAUAACGUUUAGUAAAUACUCUUCGAAAUGUCAUCCAAAUGAACUAGUAGCUGUUUUCCAUAAGUAUGUGUUAUAGUUUAUAUAUAAUUUUUGUUUGACUUAUAUGUUCUGCUACAUGUCACAAAUUAUGUAUUAUGUUGACGAGAGAAUCUGACAUUUAUGACCAAGAUGUCUUUUAAAAUGACUAAAACUCUUUGAUUUGGUUAACAAAACGUGUUUUAAUUUAAUGGGGAUCUGUCUACAUUUGAGAUUUUUGUUCCGUAGAUACCGAAGUUGAGAUAUAAUCAAUUAUGUGUUCCAACCAUCGAUUAAUUCAGACAUUAUGUGCACUGAAAUUAGUAGACAAACCGACUUCCACAUAUAUUUGAAAACGUAAAGUUUUGUAUAUCUUGUCUAAUUAUUAAUCAAAAUAACGCAAGAUCCAUCUAAUUCAAUACUUUAUUUUAAACUAAAUCAAAGUGGUUUAGCUGUUUCAAGAUUAGGCUGACUCAAGAUAAUAUGGCCUGAAUUUCCAUGCAUUAUACAGUGUGUUCACACAGAAUAAUUUGACUGCAUCUUUGCUUUUAAGUCAUAGUAGACCCAGUGACUUAAAAUUGAAAACAUGUAUAGUUCUAUUCUGUAGAUCUUGCUUAUCACUUUAAAAAAAACCACCCAGAAACAUUAUAAUUAACUAAUUAAUUUCUUCAUUACUAUAUAUUUUGAUACCACAAAAUAAAAACAUAAAUAUAGACUGGGACUACUGAGAUUUUAAAGCUUGAUAAGGCCAUACAAAAAAAAAAUAUUCUGGUUCACAGCCACUCCUGCGUCACUUAAAAAGGGCCGCAUGACCUGUUUUUAUUUCAAAAUAUAAGAAAUAAUAACAAUCUUGUCAAUUAUCCCUUGUAAAUAUAUUUCCUCAGUUACAGGAAGUAAAAAUAAAAUUUGAAGCGUACGCAACCCUGACAUUCUUGAUGACACUAGAUAAUCCUACAUUCCUAUAAACGACAUGAUGAGGUAAAUGUAGUUCCGUGAAAUGUGAUGUGAGAAUCCAUUUAGCCCAGUAGUGACUUAAUCCUUUGACAAAAUGAAAACACAAAAGUAAAAACCUCCCUCUUCUAUCAGAUUGUUUGGAAGGAUUUUCUGAGAACCAAAAUAAUUUUAUGGUAUGGCCUUAGAUAAUUUCUCAGCAUUUAACUAAUUAUUAAACCUUUGUCUUAAAACUAAUCUGGUGCUUGAAUAUAAUCAACAUGUUUUAAUAAGAUCAUAAAAUAAACGUUUUUGUACUAUUAGCUUAGAUUUUUGUAACAAUCAUAAUAGAUUUCUUUGUCUCAAUAUUUAUUUAUUUAAAACAUAGGUGACUAUUGUAGAUGGCUUAGGCCUUUCCCAUUUGAAUUUUUGUUUUUCAGAUUUAUGAUUCUAUAAAUUUUUUACUUCAUAUCUGAUUCUGUAAAUUUAUGACUACCAUAUAUCUGAUUCUGUAAAUUUAAUACACAACUUCUUAUUUGGUAAAUUUAAAAACAAAAAGUAUUUGUUUACUAUUUUAGUUGCACAUUUAUAAGUUUUGAAAUUUUAAAGAAAGAAAUUCUUCAUGGGACUCAAGAGGAUAUUAAUUGAUCAGAACCCUGAAGAACUAAAUAUUCAUUUGAUUUGGCCCUGUGCUCGACAUUUACAACUAGAUAUAACCAUUUUAUGUUCUAGAUUUCAAAUUCCUUAAUUGUGUAACUUAGGUUGUUAUGUAAUACAUUUAUGCCUAGAUUUCGAGUUCAUUAAUUUUCCAACUAGAUUUCAUGUAAAUUCAUGCUUAGAUUUCUAGUUCCUUCAUUUUGCAGUAAAUGUAUGACUAGAUUUCUAUUUCUGUAAUUUUGUAUCUAGAUUUCUCAUUAUGAACUUGACCAGAUCUUAUUUAAAUUUAUCACAUGAUCGACUAUUUUGUAAAUUUUAGGUAUAUGACCAGUGUUGUAAAUUUAUGACUGGAUUUUAUGUUGGUUUAUUAUUAGAUUUCUGAUUCCAUAAAUUUAUGACUAUAAUUUCUGAUUCUGUAAAUUAUGAUUUCUGAUUAUUUAAAUAUGAUUAUGAUUUCUGAUUCUGCAAAUUUCUGAUUAUGAUUUUCUGAUUCUGUAAAUUUAUGACAUGUCUGUUUUGUAAAUUUAUGACUCAACGACUCAACUACUGAGUCUGUAAAUUUAUGAGUCAGUUUCUGAUUCUGUAAAUUUAUGACUCAAUUUCUGAUUCUGUAAAUUUAAAGACUCGAAACAAGAUCUCAGGCUUAUCCAUUUCAUUUGUUUGAGAUUACUUAAGCUGUAUAUUCCAUCAAUAUUGACAGUAUUUUUCUUGUUAUGAAAUUGAUUUGUUCGUCCUGUAACAGUCGUUAGGUGUGUCAAUCACCUGGAGCCAUGCGAACUGUACGACCUUGGGUCAAACCCAGAGUCUAGAGGUAAAAUUAGAAGAGUUAUAUAUUUCUGCUAUCAUAAAUGAUUUUUGCUUUAGUGGGCAGCUGAAUCAAGAUUGUAUAUUUAUAUAUUGUAGUUUUGUAUCGGGGCUUGUCAUUGGACAAAGACCAGUAUUAAAUCAAAUUUGACUGGCUUAAACUCCACCUGUCGUCCAAUCGUUUCCAGCCCUCAAUUGUACUAUUAUUAUGUAGUUAUAGUUUAUAUCAAGUGGUAUCUGCUUUCUAUUUAUUCCUGUGAAAUUAUAUCUAUUUAUCAAUAUGCGACUGUCAAGGCCUAAUUGUCUUUCUUUGUGUUCAAUGUGCGAUGCCAUUUUUUAAAAAAUAACAAUUUUGUGAAUGCAUGAAAUAUAGAUUUAUAUAUAUAUAUAUAUUGCUACGAAAAAUAUUUUUAUACGCCCACAUUUAAUGUGGUCGUAUAUUGUCAUCAUUUCCGUCCGAAUUGUCCAGAUACAAUGUCAAGGUCAAGGAUGGGAUUGUUCAUUAGGGUGUAAAGAAGAGUCCUAAAUAAUGUAAAUUUUCAACAUGUUUGGAAGAGUUAAUUUUUCUUGGACAUUUUAAACUUGUAAACGUGUCACAGGACAAAAUUAGUAAUUAUAUUUUUUCUAAAAACUCAGUAGAAUUUCUCAUUUGGAACUAAUAAAGAAUUUUUACGAUUAAAAAUCAGAGUUAUCCCCCCCUGUUUACAUUUAGAUUUAUGAAAUCUAGGUAAAUGUAUACAGGAAAGGGAUCAUGAUUUUGCAAAGUUGUCUUGUUUAGAUUUGUUCAAAUCUUAUUCAGAAUUUUUCAUUCUCAAAUCGCUGAGAUAUUCACCCAUUAAUGUUCGCAAUACAGGACAUGGGUCUUUAACAGAAUACAUGUAUAUUGGAACAUAAGGAAGACUCCUAUUGAAUUUAAAAAAUCUUAAAUUUCAAAAAGUGGAAAUUGCUGGUGGUGGGUGUACUAGGGGAUGUGAUAAGUCUUCGUUUAUGUUUAUUUGAGAACAUCAAAUAUUAAAAUUAUUUUUCAUCAUCUUUAACUGAUAGAAAUUAUUUGUCAGAAAAAAAAAUUGGCCUCGUUGCUCAUUUGUAUUUAAUGAGUACAGACAAUAUGAGUAGGAUUCCAGCCAUUGCAGAGAUUUGAUAUUUGUUUAUAUCUAAAAUUUUAGACUUUUCUCCCCAUUUACAUUUGCAGAGUUACGAUAUUUUUUACUUUAAAGCUUUUAAAUUUUGGGCUUGUCUGCUCAUUGACGUUCAAAUUUAUGAAAUCUUGUGAACGCAAUAUAAAAUAGUCGAUUAGACGGAAUAUUUUUAAAACUUGGUGAAAUGUUUCAUAAGGUUAUAUAGUACCAUUUAAAAAUAAUCUUUCCGUUCCCAUUUUGACUUUGGAUGCAGUGUUAUUCUAAUUACCAUCGUAUCCAUAAAGCCAGAUGGCUGUGUAUAGUUUAAUAUAGAAUUAUGAUACAAUAGCUGAAGUUCUCCUUUAAGGUUGAAACUAUGAUCUCUAUCAGCUAUUAUGAAAAAACUAACUUUGUUAGUCUAAAGCUUGUUGUUGAUUAUUGUAUAGUUUAUAUCAUUCAAGUAUUUCCGUUUAAAGGAGAAGUCCCAAUAUUCACUGGGUCACCAAACAACAAAAUAAAAUGUUUAUGUACAUGUAAGAAAGUCAAAUGCCAAAAUCUAAAGAUAUGACUACCAGGUAGAUUAAAAUAUUGGGCUGUGUGGAAAAGAUUGCCAAAAUAGUUUACAGAAUUUAUGCAGCUUGCCUCCAACUUUCUGUAGAGUAAUCUGAUAAAAGUGACUACCCGAUACCGUUUGUAAAUUUUGCCACAUGGUAAUUAUGACAUGCAAAAAAAAAUAAUAAGUUACAGACAAGUUUAUCCAGACACGAGACGAUGGCUAUUCAAGCAAUUCGUCCUUCUGACAACUGGUCAUUAUUAUUUCUUGGAAAACAUCAAAGAUCUUCAGGCUAGAAUAAAAGAUUCUAAUUAAGAGCCCUACACAAAGAAUGAGUCAAGAAAAGAAAAUACCUGUGAUUAUGGUUACUUGACCCGCCCCCCCCCCCCCAAAUAGGGUUGGCCAAUUUGAAAAUCUUUUUUUUUAUUAUAUUUAUUUUUUUCUGGGUUUGCAUUAUCUAUUUUCUUGCAUUUCUAGCUUAAUUACUGAGUAAAAUUCUUGAAAAUGAUACCAAAAAUAAGGUCUAGAAGACUGAGAGAAAAAAGUUUAAGGUCAACAAUUUUAAUAAAAUAGGUUUGGUAGGGUAAUCGUAAACACAUGUUGGGUUUUUUUGACCUUCCUUAUACACAAUAUGGAAAUCGUAUUAUAAACUGUUGAUUAUUAAAUAUACUUAAGGGAUUUCUCCUAUAAACUGAUGACUACUCGUAGUAUAUCACCUUAAAAUUAGACGAAAUCUUUCACUAUGUAUAUGUUGUUUAUCAUAUUGUAUAAACUGUUGUUGAUUAUCAUAAUGUUUAAACAAAUUAAAUGUAUCAAUUCUUUAAAUGUUGUUAGAUAAGUUUAUUAUUCUUCUAAAUAUAACUGAUGUUGUAUAUUUUUGUAAAUCCACAACUGGACUUGUCCUUUGGAUAUUGGGGUUUUGAAACUGUAACAGAUUUUUUAAGUGCAUGCAUUAACAGUUUGUUGGAUGGCUUGUUUUUAACCAACCACAGAAAUUUUAGAAUUAUCUCACUAUUUACUCUCAACGUUAUCAAGUUUUGAGAAUGUAAUAGAGUACAUUUAAUUAUUGUUGGAGUAAAGUUAUGUUGAAUGGGGACUAAUACUUAAUGCUCAGAGGCAUGUCGACAAUUCAUAUAGGCUAUGGGUAGAAAUCGAAACAUAUAGCACCAUUAUGUACAUAAAUCUACCUUUAAAUCAAAAAGGUAAAAAGAAGGGAAUAAAAACUCCAUUGAAUUUUCUUAAUAAAAGAAGAAAUGAAAAGUUUACCAUUCAGAGGCCAAACAAAAAAUGUUGAAAAAAAUAAAGGGACCUGCAGGAAUGACAAAGAGUGUCAUAUCUUUUGGAUAGCAUGGGGAAAACGUGGUCCACAUUGAUUUACAUGUUAAAGAACACUUAGCAGUUGAAAUUUGAGUAUGCUAAAACAAAAUUGUUUACACAAUUGUACAUGAAACAUUUGAAAUGUAAAUUGCCACAUAUUAUUCUCAAAAUGACUCAAGUAUUAUGUUGACGAAACAUUGACCCCCGUUUCAUUCAUCAAUUAAUUCCCAUUGGACAUAUCACACAAAUUCCUUCUUCUAAAAUCAAAUCACAGAAGCACAUAUUUUAAAAAUCACCUCUUACAUAAAUAAAUAGAAAAUACGUCCAGUUACAAAAUUCAACCCCUUUUACUUCAUUCUGAUCGACGUCUAAUCAUAAGCUAACUGUCUGCUCUUUAUCGAGCAUCUUCAGAUGUUAUAAUGUAUAUGUAAGCAUGCCUAUAAAAAUUCUUUGUUCAAUUCAAGAAAUUGCCUAACAUUUAUAAAUUAAAGUUACUGCAUGAAAUUGCCUAACAUUUGUAAAAAAAAAACAAAUUAUUUUAGCAUGGACAUGUAUCUAUAAUUAUUACAGUUUACUACAUUUCAUUAUUUUUAGUUGCUCAAACAAUAUUUAUUUUUUGUCUUAAGAUGUGCCGUAAAGUAUGAAAUUAAUAUUAACUUUAAAAGUUUUUUCAUCUAAAUUUUGAAGUGUUCAAGUUUAUGUGAGUUAAAUAUGAUCAUAGUUUAUAGAUCACUUCCUUUGCAUGUCGAACAAACUUCAUUUAUUCAUUAUAACGAUUACUGCGUGGCUCUUUGAGUAUGGGACUAGCUUACUAACCUGGAGAGAGGGGCUGGGCUUAAUGACCAAAAUCAUGCGCUUUAGAUUGGAAGGUCUGUCAUGGAGUCAAGUAGUUUGGAUUCCCAGCUUGUACGGGGGUUGUCUCUGGUUUCCUCCCAUUGCUAAAGACCUCUACACGCAAACGAAUUAUUGAAAUAAACUUGUAACAUGUUAGUCCCAAAAUGACCUAGUUUGUGUCAAGCAAAAUUUAAGUCCCAUUUGUUUUGUUUUCUACCCCUCUAUCUCUCUGUAGUAAAUAUCAAGAUUGAAUCUGUGAGUACUGUCUGCACAAUCCUUGAAAACAACCACUGACAGAUGUUUGACACACUUCAGCCAAAAUUCAAAUCAUGUUUACUGGUCAGUGACUGCUGAAGUUAUGAGAAUAAAAAUUGUUUUCUUAGUAGCCAAGUAUUACUUGGCAAAUAUCUGCAUGCAAAAUGAAAUGAAAUGGGUUUAACAUCCUCCUUUUCUGCACUGACUGGGAUGAUGAAAACGGGCAUAGGCCAUUAGGGAAAUUUUGCCCAAACAACACUGAGCGCUACGGCCUACUCUUAUUUCAAAUUCGAACUGUCAAGGGUUCUUUUACGUGCAUGCCAAUGGGUACACAGGACCUUAGUUUUCCGUCCCAUCCGAACAACUAUAUGUUGUCAUGCUGGAAAAUCCCUAUGAACUUUCUCUGCCAACGCAGAGCAAACAUCUUACUCACUGAGCCACCGUGGCUCCCCUAUCUGCAAACAAACAUUUCUCUAUCAAAGCAGAAAUCACUUUUAAACUCUUAUUUAAUACAUGUUUGUUAAUAAAUAAUAAUUUGCUGAUUUUUAGCAUUAUUUAAUCGUGAAAUUGUUAUAUUAAAGAUUUCUAUAAUUAAUCUUUACUAAUCCUUGUCAUCAUUUUAAGAAAAUAUCAUUUUUAUAUUGAUGAAAUAUUAAUCAAUCUUUGCUGAUUCGUAUAAUCAUCUUUUUAAGAAAAUGUAAUUUUCAUAUCGAUAAAAUAUUAAUCUAUGUACAUACAUAUAUUACCAGUUUGAAGUAGCAAUAUUGAAUGAAUAGCAUAUUUUUGGAAUGCAGCUAGCUGACCUAGACAUUAUGUCAGUCAGUAGACUUGGCUUUUGAGAAUAAUAGCAAAUUUAAUGUAUGUUAUUUUCAUGCUUGACAUGUGAAUGAAAAAUGUUGUCAUACCCGGCUUAUUGUGAAGUUUUCAUCAAAGAUGUAUGUUUUUGACGUUUGACGUUCUGCUUGCAUAAUCAAACUAGAGGAUAACUCUACUUUCCCUUUCACAUACUAGUUGUGACCAUUGAUCAUCAAGAGAAAUCAUCUCUUAAUCUUGUUAAGGUUGCAUCAGAUCACCUAAGGCCACAUAAAAAAAUAUUAUUUACCAGAAAUAAAUCUGCCUAUUGCAGGUCUUUCUUUAGGCCAGAAAUGUUAUAUAAACUAUUAAUUAGACAUUAAUUAACAUAAUCAACUCCCCAUACCAUCUUAUGUGUCCGGUUUUCAUUGGAAGUAAAUCCAAUCUGCCAUUGAUGAUUAACCGCAAAUAAUGGAUAAUUGAGACUUUGUUAAUUAUCGUGACAGUGGUAACAAUGACAAUCGAGGCUACAUUGAUUUUAAAAUAAGGUUUUCUUGGCUUAGAGUCAAACAAUUUGACUGAAAUUUUCAGCAUAUUCCCUUUACAUUAUAUAGUUGUUAACUAUUAUAGUGAGAACUGCCAGCUCUUUAUCUAAUCUUCCAUAAUGUAUCUUUAAACAGGCAUUAUUUAAGAGAUAAAUCUGCCUAUUGUAGGUCUUAAAGUAGUUUUAUAAAUGAUAAUGAUUUAUAUAUAAAAAUGAGUUGAUUUAUGAUCACAUUAACUCUCGAGAUAGUUCAUACACUCUAAACAUGGGUAUCCCCAGUGGUAUCAUUCCGUUCUACUCCACUAACCCCCACGAGUCCAUUCACAGGGUUUUCACGAUUCAGAUUAUCUGCUCUUGAUUUCUUUGGGUUCGUAGGCUGAUUCUACAUACCAAUCAAAAACAGUUUACAUACUGGUCUUAGCGCCAUUGUUGACGUUCACCACCAUACAACAGCUUUACGUUCAAUUAUGAGAGGUUUGCAAUUAUCAUGCAAGUCCAAUAUUUCAUCUAGUUUUAUAUAAUCUACGAUUGGCAAGUUGCCAGUAACAUUAUUCGAAAUAAUGGUAACGGACACCAAAUAUGACAUGACAAUUGUAUUUUAAGACAUGUAAAUUGACUAAUCAGUCAGUCAGUGUCACUGUCAUUGAUUCUAGAGGGGCAAAAAAGAAUAAAACAAGAGCCCUGGUGGGGGGUGGAUGGCCCAGUUGAAAUAAUGUAUGAAAAUAUCCUGUUGAGUUAUCUGGAUUUACUAUGGUGUGAUAGACAUUUAUAUCUAGUACAAAAUAAUGCAAAAUAAUAACCUUUGUUAAUUAAUAAUUUCAUAAUAAAGUUACUCUUAGGGAUUUUUUAUUAAUGUCAUCUUCAUUAGUCAACUAUGAGUUGUGUACCUUUAUACUCGGCUGUGAAGUCUAAAAGUCUACUUGACAUAAAAAGAUUUUAGUGUAUGACAUCCAGGCACAAUUUCUUUACUGACUGUGAAAUCUAACUCUACAAGUCUACUGGACAUAAAAAGAUUUUAGUCUAUGACAUCCAGACACAAUUUCUUUACUGAUUUACAGAUGUUGGAUUUUGAGUAUAUUAGUCUCAGAAUGAUCAAAGUAUUCCUAGUUCUACCUUUUUCCCCAAAUAUGAAAUAAAUAUUUUUCAUUUAAAUUUGAGAGAUAUUUGGAGAAAACAAUGCAGUUAGUAUAGUUUUUUUUUAAAGAACCUCAAACCACAAAAGGUGACGUAUUAUCUUGGCUAGUGAAGAUGUCAUUAACUCUUAUAUUUAAAUUAUUUUAUACAAUGGCUAUAUAUUCUUGUGAAUGUUAUUUUUUUUUUUCAUUAAGUGCCUCCACAUGAAAUCAAAUAAUUUUUUGUAAUGCUAUAAGUGGAUGUGUUGGUGACAGAAAGUUAUUUGUUAAUAAAUAUCAUGUUAAUAAUUA